RNAcentral lists this microRNA (22 nucleotides) under Bos taurus (domestic cattle). RNAcentral's name for it is "bta-miR-12031". Lineage: Eukaryota; Metazoa; Chordata; Mammalia; Artiodactyla; Bovidae. The record is from miRBase by way of RNAcentral.
AUUGGAGCCAGUCUGCAGAAGC